RNAcentral lists this ribosomal RNA (405 nucleotides) under uncultured bacterium. Its description in RNAcentral is "bacterial SSU rRNA". It matches the Rfam family "Bacterial small subunit ribosomal RNA", at positions 355 to 776 of the family's 1533-position model. The record is from RNAcentral.
UUAGGAAUUUUCCGCAAUGGGCGAAAGCCUGACGGAGCAACAUUGCGUGGGUGAUGAAAUGUCUUUGACAUGUAAAACCCUUUUGUAUGGGAAUAAAAUGAAGGUACCAUACGAAUAAGUGGCGGCUAAUCACGUGCCAGCAGCCGCGGUAAUACGUGAGCCACAAAUGUUACUCGGAAUCAUUGGGCGUAGAGCGUUUGUAGGGGGAUUGGAAAGUAGAGUGUUCCAGAUCACGGCUCAACCGUGAUAGUGCAUUCUAAACUUCCAAUCUGGAAGGCAGUAGAGGUCAAUAGAAUUCUCGGUGUAGGGGUAAAAUCCGUAGAUAUCGAGAGGAAUACCAAUAGUGAAGACAAUUGACUGGGCUGUUCUUGACCCUUAGAAACGAAAGCGUGGGGAGCAAACAGG